RNAcentral lists this ribosomal RNA (632 nucleotides) under uncultured Lachnospiraceae bacterium. RNAcentral's name for it is "bacterial SSU rRNA". It matches the Rfam family "Bacterial small subunit ribosomal RNA", at positions 60 to 703 of the family's 1533-position model. Lineage: Bacteria; Bacillati; Bacillota; Clostridia; Lachnospirales; Lachnospiraceae. The record is from RNAcentral.
AGUCGAACGGACGAGGAGGAGCUUGCUUCUCCAAGUCAGUGGCGGACGGGUGAGUAACGCGUGAGUAACCUGCCCUUCAGAGGGGGAUAACGUCUGGAAACGGACGCUAAUACCGCAUGACAUAUUUCCAUCGCAUGGUGGAGAUAUCAAAGGAGCAAUCCGCUGAAGGAUGGACUCGCGUCCGAUUAGAUAGUUGGCGGGGUAACGGCCCACCAAGUCGACGAUCGGUAGCCGGACUGAGAGGUUGAACGGCCACAUUGGGACUGAGACACGGCCCAGACUCCUACGGGAGGCAGCAGUGGGGGAUAUUGCACAAUGGGCGAAAGCCUGAUGCAGCAACGCCGCGUGAGGGAAGACGGUUUUCGGAUUGUAAACCUCUGUUCUAAGUGACGAACAAAUGACGGUAGCUUAGGAGAAAGCCCCGGCUAACUACGUGCCAGCAGCCGCGGUAAUACGUAGGGGGCAAGCGUUGUCCGGAAUUACUGGGUGUAAAGGGAGCGCAGGCGGAGAAGCAAGUCAGUGGUGAAAACGAUGGGCUUAACUCAUCGACUGCCAUUGAAACUGUUUCCCUUGAGUGAAGUAGAGGCAGGCGGAAUUCCGAGUGUAGCGGUGAAAUGCGUAGAUAUUCGGAG